UCCCUCAUAGUUCUGUCGGUAAAGAAUCUGCCUGCAAUGCAGGAGACCUGGGUUUGAUUCCUGGGGUGGGAA
This 72-nucleotide transfer RNA is filed under the name Bos taurus (domestic cattle). It matches the Rfam family "tRNA". From Rfam's summary of the family: Transfer RNA (tRNA) molecules are approximately 80 nucleotides in length. Lineage: Eukaryota; Metazoa; Chordata; Mammalia; Artiodactyla; Bovidae. The record is from Rfam by way of RNAcentral.